RNAcentral lists this small nuclear RNA (88 nucleotides) under Chinchilla lanigera (long-tailed chinchilla). The record is from RNAcentral. Lineage: Eukaryota; Metazoa; Chordata; Mammalia; Rodentia; Chinchillidae.
CCUUACACUAAAAUUGACACAAUACAGAGAAGACUGUAUGGCUUCUGAGCAAGAAUGCCAUGAAAAUCAUGAAGCAUUCCAUAUUUUA